GUGUACCUGCAAGUCACAAGGUUAAAACCGGAUGGAAAUGGAAAAAAAAUGAUAUCCAUUUAAUUAUGUCAAAUCGAUAGCUAUAUUCUUAGUAUUGAUCCCAAAAUUGGUUAGUUGGCAAAUUAAGCCAAAAGUUUAUGCUUCUUUUAUGAGUUGUUUACCAUAUAAAACACUUUUACGUUUACUUUUACUUGUAGAGACAUUUGCGGCAUGUGACAUACAUUUUCUGGACAGCUGGUGUUUUUUGGACCGUUUUGUCCUCACGCCCU
This 269-nucleotide long non-coding RNA is filed under the name Brassica napus (rape). Its description in RNAcentral is "long non-coding RNA (BNAP_LNC014661)". Lineage: Eukaryota; Viridiplantae; Streptophyta; Magnoliopsida; Brassicales; Brassicaceae. The record is from RNAcentral.